GAUGAACGCUGGCGGCGUGCUUAACACAUGCAAGUCGAACGGAAAGGCCCAAGCUUGCUUGGGUACUCGAGUGGCGAACGGGUGAGUAACACGUGGGUGAUCUGCCCUGCACUUCGGGAUAAGCCUGGGAAACUGGGUCUAAUACCGGAUAGGACCACUUCUUGGAUGUUGUGGUGGAAAGUUUUUUCGGUGUGGGAUGAGCUCGCGGCCUAUCAGCUUGUUGGUGGGGUAAUGGCCUACCAAGGCGUCGACGGGUAGCCGGCCUGAGAGGGUGUACGGCCACAUUGGGACUGAGAUACGGCCCAGACUCCUACGGGAGGCAGCAGUAGGGAAUAUUGCACAAUGGGCGCAAGCCUGAUGCAGCGACGCCGCGUGGGGGAUGACGGCCUUCGGGUUGUAAACUCCUUUCGCUAGGGACGAAGCGUUUUGUGACGGUACCUGGAGAAGAAGCACCGGCUAACUACGUG
RNAcentral lists this ribosomal RNA (467 nucleotides) under uncultured bacterium. RNAcentral's name for it is "partial 16S ribosomal RNA". It matches the Rfam family "Bacterial small subunit ribosomal RNA", at positions 28 to 507 of the family's 1533-position model. The record is from RNAcentral.